GCCUUGGUAGUUCAACGGAUAGAACAACGGUUUCCUAAACCGUGGAUAGGGGUUCGAUUCCCCUCUGAGGUACAA
This 75-nucleotide transfer RNA is filed under the name Phocaeicola plebeius. RNAcentral's name for it is "Bacteroides plebeius tRNA-Arg". It matches the Rfam family "tRNA". Rfam says of the family: Transfer RNA (tRNA) molecules are approximately 80 nucleotides in length. Their secondary structure includes four short double-helical elements and three loops (D, anti-codon, and T loops). Lineage: Bacteria; Pseudomonadati; Bacteroidota; Bacteroidia; Bacteroidales; Bacteroidaceae. The record is from RNAcentral.